Molecule: unclassified non-coding RNA, 235 nt
Filed under: Hevea brasiliensis (rubber tree)
Lineage: Eukaryota; Viridiplantae; Streptophyta; Magnoliopsida; Malpighiales; Euphorbiaceae
Source: RNAcentral
AGAAUUGUCAAGAGGGCCAAUUUGCCUCAAGAUUUUGUACCAUCGGAGCAUUUUAAGUCCCUCACAUCAAGUUCAACCUCCAAGAGUUUACCGUUCUGAGGAGAUUGGAUGGAUCUAGAUUGGUGUGGAGAUUGAAGAGGAGCAUCUUGAAGUUAGUCUUUUUAUUAUUGUUCUAGUUGGUCUCGAUCUUUGUAGUGGCAUUGUUAGCACAUGAAAUAGUCGUCUUGUGUUAGAU